UGAUAGCUGUGAAGCGUGAGGUUGCUGCCGCGAGGCAGGUUUUUCCGUGGAGCGAAUGUCAAGAGGCCGGA
RNAcentral lists this non-coding RNA (71 nucleotides) under uncultured Mediterraneibacter sp. RNAcentral's name for it is "S10-Clostridia ribosomal protein leader". It matches the Rfam family "S10-Clostridia ribosomal protein leader", at positions 1 to 71 of the family's 81-position model. Lineage: Bacteria; Bacillati; Bacillota; Clostridia; Lachnospirales; Lachnospiraceae. The record is from RNAcentral.